This is a non-coding RNA of Monodelphis domestica (gray short-tailed opossum), 17621 nucleotides long. The record is from RefSeq and is a predicted model, not a curated record. Lineage: Eukaryota; Metazoa; Chordata; Mammalia; Didelphimorphia; Didelphidae.
ACUGUUUUAAAUAUCUAAACUAUAUUUUUCAUUAACAGAUUUACUGUUUAAGUGAUUUUGUUUUUUCUGUAAAUUAUUGAAAGUAGCUUGGUAUUGCCACAUUUGAACAGUUGGUGGCUCCAAUGCUUUGCAAGUAUCCUAGAAGUCUGAUGGUUAAACAAAAGAACUUUUUUGGGGGGUACAUUAAAUCAUAAAGAAAAUCUCAUUUCGAAGAAUGCAUUAGGAUAUUGUUAACAAUUAAACAUUAAUUUAGAGUUAAAAUUUCAAAAUAAACUUGUUUUAUACAUGAAUGUGUAUAGACUGUUUAUAAAUAGUAUUCACAAAUUAAUUUUAAUAUAAAAACAAACUACAAGGUGCCUUUACUUUAUAGAAAAGAUGAAUUAUAGUAAAAAUGUUUCUAAAUUUCUGUAAAUUCUGUUAAAAUCUUUUAUUGUUGAAUUUUCUUGAAAGGUCUCCUAAGAUACUUGGCAAGAAUGGAAAGAGCAUCAGAUUUAGACUGAGAGAGACGGGUUCAGUGCUUGACUCUACUACUAAUGUGACUUUGAGGAAAAUGCUUCACCUCUGUAGCUUUGCUCAUGUAUAAAUUGAGGGACUCAGACUAGAAGAGAUCUGAUGCUCCUUUUUGUAAUUUUAGAAUUGUUUCUCAAGUACCUUUUAAAGUUUAGGAUUUUUUUCCUUUUUGAAAUUUUCUCUGCAAUCACUGCCUGGUGCCUUUUAGGCUGCCCAUAGACAUUUCUUCCAGGCUUGGGUCUUCUCUAAAUUCUCUCUGAAGACUCCUAAAUUUUAGCUUUCCUUCUCCUUUUAUCUGGUAUCUACAAAAUAUGGUAGAACAAAGUUAUAGGAUCAUACAUUGCCAGUUUGGCUUCUUUUGCACAAUAAAUGUCAGACCUUAAAAUCUAUAAACUGAAUUCAUAGCAAUUCAGUAAGUUUAAAUAUUUAAAAAUCAAACAUUUUAUUAUGAAUUUAAUAAAACUAACGAAACUUAUUUAUGACUUUAAACAUAGUGAUUAUAACUUAUUUUAGAUUUUAUAACCUUAAGCAGAUAGAAAUACUAUAAAUUUCUUUUGAUACGUGGUAUUCCCUCGGCAUGAAUUCUGAUUGUAAUGAUAAGGUUUAAUGUGUCCGGUUUUAACACCAUGACACAUAUCUUAUUAGGAAUAUGAUGAGAAUUGCAAACUAGAGCAACAGUUUUGGAGAAGAAAAUAAAAUAGGAAUUGUGUCUAUAUCAUGCCAUUUCUAGUUGACUAAUUCUCUAAAAAAAAAAAGUGGUUUGAGGUGGUUUCUCUUCUACUUAUUUUCCAGUAGUAAGUAAGAUUUUAAAAAAUAUUAUGCUUCUUAUGUGCUGGCAUCUUUAAGAUGUGGAAGCUUUAGUGUUUUUCCAAUGGGUAAGUCUGUCACUGUGAAUAGAGCACUAGGCUUGGAAUCAAGAAAACUUAUCUCCCUGAGUUCAAAUCUGGCUUCAGACAUUGACUAGCUAUGAGACCCUGGUCAAGUCAUUUAAUGUUAUUUGCCUUGGUUUCCUCAUCUGUGAAAUGAGCUGAAGAAGAAAAUGGAGGACCACUACAGUAUCUUUGCUUAGAAAAUUCCUAAUGAAGCCAUGAAGAAUCAAACAAGAGUAAAAAACAACUGAACAGUAACAAAGUCUUGGUAAUCCUUUCUGUUCUCUGUAUUAAUGCCAUGUGGGAGGAAGUGAUGGUAGGAUGAGGGAGGAACUGUCCAGCAGAACCAAUGAUGGACCAUUGUAACAGAUCUACCAAGAAGUGAACCUGCUGGUAUCUCUCUCUGAUUGUGCUGAAGGGUAGGAGGCAUUUUGGUGGUGCAAACACUGAUCCUGGAGUCAAGAAGACCUGAGUUCAAGUACAGCCUCAGAAACACUGACUUGCUAGGUAAUGGAGGAAUUGAAGAAUUUGAGAGUUGCAAGAGACUUCCGCAGGUAUGUAGUCCAACCCAUAAAGAAAGGAUUCCCCAAUAUAAUCUAUUUUCAACAAGUGAUUGUCCAACUUCUAGUUGAAGACCUCCAAGGAGAGAGAACAGAACACUUUUGGGAAAAAAGCCAUUCCACGUUUGGAUAGCUCUAAUUGUUAGGGAGUUUUUCCUGAUGCCAAACCUAAAUUGAUCUCUUUGUAACUGACACUCAUUGCUCCUAGUUUUGUAAUCUGAGACCAAGGAGAACAAUUCCUUCUUUCACGUUAACGGCCCUUGGAAAAUUCAUUUUUUUUCCACCACCCUCAUUUUCUUCAGUGAAUUGAUCCUCCAGUGUUAUGAACCCGAGGCUCAUUACUAUCCUGAUUGCACCACUCUGGAUAUUUUCCAGCUUACCACUGUCUAUCUUCAAAGUCAGGUGGCAAGAAUUGAACAUAGUAUUCCAUAGUGUUUCAAAAUACAUGACAAUUUUCAGGAUAUCUCAGAAAAGAGAAGAUUUCAUAGAAUGAGAAUUGUCUUGGAUAUUUUUUUUUAAUCAGUGACCAGGAAUAAAUCAACCACUGCCAAAUAAGAUGCUUACUUUUCUAUUUCUCUAAUUUUUUAUGAGAAUUGUUUCCCAUUUGAAGGUAUCCUUGUGUCUUAAUUCUUUUGGCCUUUAACUUAUCCUGAGUAGAUUAGUAGUUCCUUCUUAAUGAAGUUGUAUCUAAGUUUUUCCCAACAAAGAAAGACAGUUAGUGGGAAUCAGUGGCUUGUGAGGAUUAUUUUUAGUGACAUCUUCAGUUUCAAAACUGACCAAGGGGUGGAAGCAAAUGUAAGAUCCUUAUUGUUUGUUAAUUACCCCCCUAAGAAACUAAAGUUCAGUUUUAAAAGGUUCAACAACAAAAUAUUUUCCAUGUACAAAUUUUACUAUCAAACAAGAAGUCUUAAUAAAUUCAACCACUAUCAAUUCAAUUCAACAAAUAUCUAUUAAAUAUCCUACAAGUAUCUUAUAGGCACUGAGGUUUUACUUGAAGUGACUGUUGUAAGAAUGUGAAUAUUAUGGAACCAUAAGAAUUUCAAGUGUGUCUUCUAAAUUAGAAGAAUAUAUGGGAAGCCCUAAUUUUACAAUUUUCUAGUUGAUCUCCCAGAGCCUCUUCAUAAUUUAUUCAUAUUUUUGCUAUUCUAUAAUUUUUACAGCCUAAUUACACUCAACAGGGGUUUGUAUUUUAUGCACUUCACUGAGGUAAUUCCAAAACCAGAUUAAUCAUAAAUCCUGACAGACUUGGACCAAGAGUAUGGUAAAAAAUAAGGGCUGACCUGUUUGGCAGCUGUUGUACAGACUAAAGAAUAAGAGAAAACUUCGAUCAAGAUCAUGGUUAAUAUACCAGGAAGCACCCACCACUAGGUAUUUUGUAAUAGAAUCAAAUGGUUAAUGACUUCCUUUUUAUGGAGGGUGCUUGGAAUUACAGUUCAUCCAUUAGUCCUUAAGAAUUCAGAAACUUAUAUAAUAAAAUAAAAAUUGAUGCCUCAGGUCCUUAAUAGUUGUCAUUUUCUUUUACAGUUUGAAUAAAUACAUUUCAUAGUUUCAUUUUUAUAGAAAGCAUUCUAUUUCUAUUUUAUGUAUAUAAUUAUUGGAUCUGAACUUAGUGGAAUCUCUUUUCACACUGUUAAUUUAGCCUGGGAGAAUGGUUUGUAUUAAAACUUCAGAAGAGUUAUGUUUAUUAGCAAUGAUCAUUAAGGAAUAUCUAGAUCAAUAGUAUCUAACACAUAUAGAAACUGGGGAGUGGGAAGAUUAAACCUAAACUAAAGAUUUCUGUAGGCUGUUUAUUAUUUUAGAAAACCAUAUUAACAUUAGCUAUAUUCUUUUCUACUUUAAUUAAAUAUUUUUCAUUGACAUUUUAAUCUAGUACCCAAGGGCCCUGUAUAAGACACUGCUAAUGUAAAUGAAAAAGAUAAAAUAACUAGAAUUAAGAGAUUAGAUUUGAGAAGCAGAAAUGAGAAUGGUGUGAGUCUAGUAGUAGUUCUAGUAUGAUGAUAAGAGGAAGUACCAUAAUUAGCUUCAACUGAAUAGGUUAUGUCUGUUUUGGGGCAUUUUUUCUUCCUCACUAUGGCUAGCAUCUCCAUACCUCAACUUGCCUAGUUUUUUGUUUUUGUUUUUGCUAUCUUGGACAACCAUGAUCUCUUGUGUUAGACUCUCAGGAACUUAUUGCCAUAGUGCCUACUCUCUCCAGGCCUACCAAUCCCUCUGGCACCCUGCUUCCCCUUCCACUCAUGUGGGGUAUAGCCCACCCAUGGUGAGUCACUGACACUAGCACUGUGGCCCAACUUCUACCAACUGACUUUGUUCCUUGUCAAAAACUUCUUAGUUAUGGCUUCAUUAUGAAGAAACUACUGACCUACUCAGGGCAAGAAAAAGGCCAAAAGAAAUCUUUAAUCAAGGCUAUGAUGAAUUCAUCUAAGAACUAAGAUCAUUUACUAUCCAUACAAGCAUUUGGUGAUAAAAUCAAAUGUUAAAGGUCCUUUUUUGAUGAGAAGUACUGGAGUGAUAGUCUACUCAUCCUGAUACUUUAAAAGAGUCUAGGUUUGGGGUCUGCAUGUUUAAUGAGCCUUUCUUCUCCUUGCAUUUUGAAUGAACUGAUUCCAAAGUCUCAUUUUUAUAGAAAACUUCCUAUUCACAUUUGCUAUAUAAUGUUGUGUUAAACUAAGUUGAUUUUGUUGUAUCUUUCAAGGGUUCUUCAAUAAUUUUAAGAUAUGGAUGGUAAAUACUUUGUUAGGAGAGAGGCUUUAAGGUGGCAUUUGACUUUAUAUUGAAUCAAAAACUUUUUAUAGCCAACAAAAAAUAAGCAUAAUGGGAUACUGUAUGCUUAAUGUUUUUCAGUGAUUUGUGUGAUGAUAAGGAUGUGGACUGCUGUGUAAUAUUAAUUAUCAAAAAGCCUGUCUAUUCCUUAGUAAUUCUGUAAUCAAGCAUGCUUUGGAUUUGUGCUUCUUAUUCUCAUAAAUAUUUUAUAUAUAGAUGAGAAAGUUGACAGAUUAGUAGCUGAUGUAAUAAAUGAGAUACUCUGCUUGACUAGAGAGAUAGAGAGGUGCAAAUUGUAUUAAAAAUGUAUACUUGAUGGGAUAGUUGUAAUAAAUGGAUGUACUUGGAGAUCGAUACUAGGGGAAACCUGAAGGUGCCUAGUUCUAAUGGAGAGAGAGAUAUACUAGAGGAGGGUAUCUGUCAGUUCCCUAGAUGACAAAUUGAUUAAUAUUUUUCCUACCCUCCUCCUCCUUCAAUACCUCCCUUCACCUCCCACUUCUGAAGCCUUUAGCUUCACCCCUUCCCCCUCCUUCCCAAAGUGGACUAUGAGUUUUAGAGAAAAUACUCUCUCUCUUUCUCAAGUAAGGGGGUUUAUUGGGAAAAACAGGACAAGGAUGGAAGAUGAGGCAAGAGGGAUGGGGGUUUCCCUAGUCUAUAAUGAGGGUUAAGAGGUUUUGGGGAAAUGUUAGUUCUAUCACAGCUGUGACAAAAAAGUCUGACAGGGAGACUUCCUUCAAACUCAAGUCUCAGAGACACCAAUAUCUUCUUAACCACACUCGGCCACAAGCUAAAAGUUAAUUCACAAAUUUCUCUCUCCGCUCCAAAACCACACCUGUCCCUCAGCCUAGGACAGAAGCUAACAUAGGGGUCCUGUUCAGAGCUUCUUCCUGUUCAGCCUGGCUCAAAAGCCACCAGGGUCUCUCAGCCUCAGGUCAGAAGCUAAGAGGGGUCUAAUCACAAGCCUCUCUGCCUAGCCCCAAAAGAAAUCUCCUUUCCUCCUCUCUAAUAAGCCAAGAGAGUGAGUUCAGUUCCACUGUGAGGUUAGCUUCCAACUGCCUCUUCCUGGGAACAUUCCAAAGGGAAUGUUCCUUUUUUGAUAUGAUGUCCUUUUGCUUUGUGUUACAUGCUUGGCUUGCCCUGUAGAUUCUCUCUUUUACACUGAUGAUAAUCUCCGGUUGACUUGGAGGGCAUUAAUAGAGUUCAAGAUUUUCCCUCUAUUUUUAGUAUAUUUUCCUUCAGAUAUUUAAGAAUUAAUCUCUCCAUCCCUCCAUAACAGAUUUCCUAAUUCCAUGACUCAAUUCUGUCCAUGAAGAUAACUGGUAAUUUUCCAGUAGUAUUUAGAGGAGUGCCACUUAAUCCCCUUGCAAGCACAUGGUUUAGAAGAUUUGAAAAAUAAACAAACUUGUUUACAGAUCAAAGGAAACAAAUAGAAUUUAUACUAGGGCUCAUAGGAAAUUAUGAGAACUAUCUAGGGACAACUCUUUACAUCAAGCAUCUCUAUUAUGUCAUGGUAAAUAUGCUGCAGUUAUAGGAACAAAAGUUUUCUAAUGCUUGUAUUUGGAAAAUAAAAAAUGUUGUCAACAGGGAUCCUAGGUUCUAUCUAUGACUUAUAUUGAUAUGCUAUUUACUCCAUUGUACAAAAGCAGGAACCGUCUUAGAUGGGCUCUAUCCUUGGAAAAAAUUUAUUAGACAUACAAAAUUAAAAUGUACAUUGGGGACUUGGGAGAAAUUUUACCUCCAAAUAAAGAUGCCAGUCUCUCUUUCCCUAAUUCAUAUGCUAUAGAAUAAAAAUCUUUGCCUAAGGAAUUUUAUCUCCAAUUUAAAAAAUUGGCAAAAUAUACACAUGAUAAAACACUUAUAAAGAAAGGAAAUAUAGAAAUAAAAAUCUUAUAAAACUUGUAAAGAAAGGAAAUAUAAAUAUAAAAAAACUUAUAAAGAAAGGAAAUAUAAAAAUCAUUACUAUUUUCUAGUACCCCAUUUGAGUUAGGUCUAAAAUAGAUGGAAUUUUACAAAAUAAAAAUGCAAUAAAACAUUGAUAUUAUAUUUUAAAAUUAAGUCUCAUGUGGUUGACAGGGAUCCUUAUCUAUGGAUUAGUGUCUCAUUCUUCCAUAUGAUUUGACACCAUUGUAAAUCUAAGGGAACCUUUGUGCCAGUUGGAAGUAUAUUAUUUGAACUUUCCCCAUUUUUCAUUAAGCAUUCCACCAACUUCAGGGAUUUAACAGUAUGACUGGUGUCUAACCAAAUGGGGGUGCUCUUUCCCUCUAGAAAGGACAAUAAUAGUCCUGUUAAGGAGAACUAAGCCUCCCCUCAGACUUCAUCAUUCUCCCUUGUAGAGGGGAAUGGCACCCCGACUUGGCUAGUUACCAGACUCAACUCACUCCUAUUUUCCCAAGAAGGCAACAGAAGACAUACAAACAGAGAAGUAAGAAGUAAAUUCUAACUAUAGAAAUUCAGUCUUAAAUUGGGAAACUAUUUAGUGUUAGGGAAGCACAGGAUUUUUUUUUAAACCUUUAACUUCCAUCUUAGAAUAAAUUCUAAGUAUUAGUUCCAAGGAAGAAGAGUGCUAAGGCCUAGGAAAUGGGGGUUAAGUGACUUGACCAGGGUCACACAGGAAAUGUCUGAGGCCAAAUUAGAACCUGUCAUUUCUGGUUUGGCUCUCAAACCUAGCUGUUCCCCAACCCCACUCCCGGUAUUAGAUUCUAAACCUAUAAAUCUUGGACAAGCCACUUAGACUAUAUGAGCCUCCAGCCCUAUUCCUGGGUGGAAUAUAUUCAGAAAUUAAUUACAUCUUAUUUUAGUUGCUUUAACUUUUUUAGGUUCAUGGAACUUUUUUAAAGCAGAUAUAUAAAAAUGCUACACACAACACUUCUAAGUACAGAUUUUUAGGGGUAAUCUUGGGUUCUAGUCCAAUCUCAUUUUGCAUAAAAAGAAACUUGGAAUUAUAUAGGUUAAGUGACUUCCCAAACUCACACAGGUAGACAGUAGCAAGAGGUAGAAUUUUUACUCUAAAACCAUUAUUCUUCAUAAUACACAGGGGAAGUUUUUUCCUCAUGUUUCCUUGUUAUUUACUCUUACUUUUAAAUCUGUAGCUUAAAAGUAGGACCUUUGCGUCUUCAGUAUUCUUAGUUAAUGUACGGGAGAAGUUUUUUUUUUUCCCCAUCUAUACCCUAUAUACCCUACUAGCACACUGAACACCCAGUUUUGCUAUCUUGGAGCUGCCCGUCUUUCAUUUAGGGCCAUCAGUUAUUUACUGUUUGUCUUUUAAAUUAAUUUUUGGAGGUAUUUUAUUCUGUACCUUUUCACUUUUUCACCCCUUAACUGCUACUGUACUUUACUUUUUUUUUUAGCCAUAUAUAUGCUAGGAAAUGCUUUUCAUCCAUGUUUUUAUGUGUAUGUGUAUAUUGUAUAAGUAUUUCAACAUAAAACUCAAAACAAACCAAAUAUUCUUGAUUUGAUUCAUUUGUGCAGCUUCUUAAAUGUAAGUAUAGAAAAUAUGGACUUUAUUUGGCCACUAACUGGAAAAUAUUUUGGAUUUGAGCAGGAGAGACAUAGCCAGGUUCAUACAUAGGGAAGAUUAAUCUGGCUGUGGAGUAAAGGAGAGAUUGGGAGGAAGGAUAGGACGAAGAGGUAGGAAGAUCUACCUGUUAGGAUGAUAUUGCCAUAGUACAGAUUAGGUGGUAAAAGUGGUAGUAUCAUUGACAGAAAUAGUGCAGUUAAAAUUUGGAAAAGUAUAGCAUGAAAAAUAUAACAUGUCUUCCUCCUUUGCCUGCUCAGAAGCAGCUAGGUGACACAGUGGACAGAUGGAUUGGCCUGGGGUCAGGAAACCCAAGUUCAGGUAAUCUGGUUUUAGCGAGAUUAUUAUCUGUGUGACCGAGGCAAGUCAUUUAAACUCUGCCUGCCUCCAUUUCUUCAUUUGAAAUGGAGGAAAUAAUAGCACUUAUCCUCCCCACUCCAAAGCACUUCACCCAAAUAAAGCCAGACCUAAACAAUUAGAACGUUGGUUGUUCAUGGAUAGACUGAGCCAAUAUAAAAAAAAUGACACUCCUAUCUAAAUUAAUUUACCUAUUGAGUGCUAUGCCAAUCAGACUAGCCAAAAUAUUUUAUAAAGUUAUAAAAAAUAACAAAAUUCAUCAGGAAGAGCAAGGCCAAGAAUACAGAAGAAAUUAAUGGAAAAAAUAUGAAAUAAGGAAGCCCAGCCAUACAGAUCUCGAACUAUUCUGUAAAGUAAUCAUCAAAAACAAUCUGGUACUGGCUAAGAAAUAGAGUAGAGGAUCAGUGGAAUAGUUUGGGUAAUAAACAGAAUUUAAUGAUCAUAGUAAUCUAGGGUUAAAUAAAACCAAAGAUCCAAGCUUUUUAGGGAAGAAUUCUCUAUUUGACAAAAACUGUUGGGUAAACUGGAAAGCAGGAAGAUAGAAACUAGGCACAAACGAACAUCUCAGAACAUAUACCAAGAUAAAGUCAAAAUGGAUAGUUGAUCUAGAAAUAAAGCGUGACACCAAAAACAAAUUAGGGGAACAUGGAAAAGUUUACCUGUCAGACAAAGGGAUGAGAAGAAUUUUUAUAGCCAAAUAAGACAAAGCACACUAUGAAAAAUGAAAUGAAUAAUUUUGAUUACAUUAAAUUUUAAAGGUUUUACACAAGCAAAACUAAUGCAACCAAGAUUAGAAGGUAAGUAACAAACUGGGGGGGGGGGGGAUUAUAGUAAGUAUCCCCAACAAAAGCCUCAUUUCUCAGAUAUAUAGAGAACUGAGUCCAAUUUAUAAGAAUACAGAGCAUCCUCAAAUUGAUACCUGGUCAAAGGAUAACAGUUUUUAAAGUAAGAAAUUAAAACUAUCCAUAGGCAUGAAAAAAUGCUCCAAAUAAUUAUUAAUUAGAGAAAUGCAAAUUAAAUCAACUCUGAAAUACCACCUCAUACCUAUCAGAUGGCUAAUGUGACCAAAAAGGAAAAGGAAAAAUGUUGGUGGGCAUGCAGAAAAUUAGAACAUUAAUAUACUGUUGGUGGAACUGUGAACUGUUACAACCCUUUUUGGAGCAAUAUUCCCAAAGAACCAAAAAACUGCAUACAUUUUGACAACCUUAUAUACUACUGGGUCUAUAUGCCCAAAGAGAUUUUUAGCAGCUUUUUUUGUAGCAGCAAAGAAUUGGAAACUGAAGGUAUGUCUAUCAAUUAGAGAAUGGCUGAGCAAGUUAUGGUAUAUGUUUGUAAUUGAAUACUAUUAUGCUAUAAGAAAUUAAAAACAUGAUGAGUCAGUAAAACUGGAAAGACUAAUAUGAACUGAUGGCAAGUGAAAUGAACAGAACCAGGAGAAGCCUGUAUACAGUAAUCGAAAUAUUCUAUAAUGAUCAUCUUUGAAAGUCUAAACUUAUCAGCCAAACAAGUUUCCAAAAUAUCCACAAGGGAUUCAUAAUGAAAAUUCUAUCCACAGCCAGAGAUUGAAUUGUGGGACUCUGUGGAUCAAAAUAUGCCAUUUCCCACUUAAUUUCCUUCAUGAACUUUUUUUUUACUAUAUGUAUGAUAUGUGUCUUCUAUCAUGAUAGCAAUAUGGAAAUAUAUAUUGCAUGCAACUCCUGGUAUAACCUAUAUCAGACUAUUUAUAACAUAAGAGAAUUUGGGGGAUGGAGGUAAGGAGAGAAUCUGAAACAUGACAAAACAAUUGUCAAAAAUAGGAAAACAAAUUUAAAAAAACUAUUAGAAAACCUCAAAAAAUCCAACACAUGAGCUGGGGCCUUAUCUUAGAAACACAUUAUAAACACUGCCUGAUUGUGCUGAGAUAUAGGAAUACCACUCCAGGGAACUCAGGAGAAAGGCUGGAGAAAGGGAAAAAAAUUACUGCCAUAGAAAGAAGUGAUGGAGUCUGAAUGCAGAUUAAAGCAUAUCAUUCUUCACUUUAUUUCCUUCAUGAAUUUUUCUCUAGUGUAAAAGAUAUGUCUUCUUUCACAAUAUGAUAAAUAUAGAAAUAUGUAUUGCAUGAUAACAUAUCUUAGGAAGGAUGGGAGGGAGAGAAUGCAUUGCAAAACAUCAGAAAAUAAUUACUAAAAACUAUGGACGUGUAAUUGUAUCAAAUGUAAUAUGGAGGCAAAGGAGAAUGGGAAGAGAAAAAGGACCAUUAGAUUUUUUAAAAAAUAUUUUUUUUGUUUUCCAAAUUAUAUGUAGUAAUAAUUUUCAACAUACAUUUUCCAAAGUUAUAUGAUUCAAAUUAUCUCCCUCUCUCCCUUCCAUCCCACCUCCUGGAGAUGGUGAGCAAUUUGAUCUGUGUUAUACAUGUAUUAUCAUGCAAAACAUUUUCAUAUGGGCCAUUGUUAUAAGAGAUUAUUCCUAUAAAACCAAAACCCCAAAAUAAAAGAUCAUGCUUUGAUCUGUAUUCCAACAGUUCUUUCUCUGGAAAUGGAUAACAUUAUUUGUCCUGGAUCAUUGUUUUGCUGGGAAUAUCUCUCACAGUUUAUCAUCUUAUAAUAUUGCUAUUACCAUGUACAAUAUACUCUUUAUUUUUUAAUGUAUUUUUUUUAAACCUACCAUCUUGGAGUCAAUACUGUGUAUUGGCUCUAAGGCAGAAGAAUGGUAAGGAUUGGGCAAUGGGGGUUAAGUGACUUGCCCAUGGUCACACAGCUAGGAAGUGUCUUAGGCUAGAUUUGAACCUAGGACCUCCCGUCUCUAGGUCUGGCUCUCCAUCCACUGAGCCACCCAGCUGCCCCAGAAUAAUAUACUCUUGAUUCUGCUUAUUUCACUCUAUAUCUGUUCAUGUAGAUCUUUCCAGUUUUUUCUGAAAUCAUCCUGUUCAUCAUAUUUUAUAGCAUAUUAUUAUUUCUUCACCAUCAUAUAAAUAGGCUUUUUCAACAAUGCAUCCUUAAACCUAUUGGCUGGGGAUUAAGGAGGAAGUUAGUGGUAAAGAAAUGAGGGCAGUGAAUGCUUUAUUGGUUAAUAAAGUUUUACUUGGCAGUGGAGGGAAAGAAAUAGUUAAAAGGAGUAAAUGAGUUAUCUAAGUAGAGGAGACUUAUGAACAAUUUCCAUCCUGAGAGGAGAGAGAUAGUUAUGAAAACUUGAUGUAUUCUGAAUUGCUUCAUGGAUAGAGAAUUGUUCUUUUUCCUUUCUUGUGUAGUAUAAAUUUUGUCAUAGAGGUGUAGUUCAAGAAGGUAAUUCAGGAGUGGUCAAAUGGAAAGACUUCCAUUUUCCUGGGGCUGCAGAUCAAUUGUAAACAAUAAGGAGAAUUGGACUAAUUUUAAAUUAUAUUACAACUGCAUUUGUAAAGUAAUCUAUCUAGGGGUAGUUCUUACCAAGACUUAUCUACAAAUCUUAUAAAUAAAUAGCAAAGAUGACAAAAGCAAUCUUCAGAUGAAAAAAUUAAAGAUCAAUUAUGACAAUGGAACAUAAUGUGUAGAGCUUCUGGAAGUACUUCCUUUUCAUUAAUCAAGGAUAAUUAUCAAUUAUAAGGCUUAAUCAUUAGUAGAGUCUUUAUAUUUUGCAUCUUGAAAAGUUGAUGAUAAUUGGUCUCCAUAUUUAACUCCCAAGUACUCAUUACACUGAGGGAAAAGUGAAUAAGCUUUUUUUUUAGAGUUUUUUCUUUGUCUAUGACCUUGGAUGAUGACUCACUAAACAUUUCUUAAUCUCAGCCUCAAAAAUUGAGGUAUAUUUUGUUUACUUUUUUUGUUAGAAAGAAGUAAUAUAUUUUAGAUUUCACAAAAUCAGCAUUUUAAAGGUGGAAAGAACCAGAGUUGAUUUUUUUUUUUAGCCCAACCUCUCAUCUUGUAAGUGAGAAAAAUUAUAUUUGUGAAAUAGGGCAUCAUUUUAUUCUGUUCCCAUAAGAUAUCAUAGUUGUUACUUUCUUGAAAAAAUUCUUAAUGCUUAAUUUGAUUUCUUUUUAGUUACCUUUUCAAAAAGAGAAUGCAGCUACAAAUCAGUUUGAUGGCUUCCUUUCUGAAAAAUUAGCUCGAUUCAAAGGUUGAAGUAAUCAUUUCCAAUGUUAUCUUAUUGCCCUCAAUAAUAAUAUUAUGCUCCCUGAAUUUACAAUGUCUUUUGGUAUUUAUAUCAACAAUUAAAGCAUUAUUAAUUAUAUUGGGAAGAAGAAUGAUCUAACUACUAAUAAAAAAAAAGCAAACCUGAUCCAAGGUGUUCCUCUCUUUACCUCAUUUUUUAGAACUUCUUGAGGAAAUAUCACAUCAAAUUAAUGAAUCUUAGGAUUUUAUUGCCAAUGACCAUAAACAGGUAAUAUGUGUGUGUAUAUGUGGGGGAAGUGUUUGCCACUAAAGGCAAAAAUGGAACUUAAUACUUUUUGCUCUUUGUUGAUUUCUUGAUUCAACAUAUGUGACAUUUAACACCAUUGAACUUUUAAGGACUAGAAGAUCAAAUUUUUACUGUUUCUACUUUUUUCAAGUUAAAUCACAAUAGUUGAUUCACCCUUGUUAAAUUGACAAAAAUGGUUUAAAAGUUUUAAAAAUGCAGCUUUGAAUGGAUUUGGAGGAAACAAGAAUGCUAUUGCAUUGCUAAUGGAAUUGCAAGUUAUUCUUAUUGAGAUAGUUAUAAGUAUACAAUUUUAAAAGUCAGAAUUUUGGUAAAUAUGACAAUUGAUAUAAAUAAAAUUAUUUUAAGUUAAUUUAAGUAAGGGUAGGUUAUAAAGUAUUACAUAAUUUCUCCCUUUUAAGUAAUUACUCUAGAUUUUACUGAGAGCUCUGCUUUCUUUUUUUUUUCCAGAUUAUAUGUUGAUACAAUGUUCAAUAAUCAUUUUUUCUCUCCCUCCUUAUCCUUUUUACCUCCCCAGGAUGGCAAGUAAUAUGAUAUGGAUUGUACAUGUAUUGUCAUAUAACACAUAUUUCCAUGUUAAUCAUGUGAUGAAAGAAGACACCUAUUGCUUAAAUUAGAGAAAAAUUUGUGUUAGAAUCUGCUAUUAAGCUCCAUACAGUUGCUAAAAUGUCAUUUGGAAACUGUCAUCUUCUGGAAACUUUAUUUUGGAAUCUUUUAGGACAAUGGGAGAUAUUGGGUGAGUUUAUAUCCAAACCAAAGUUAAUGUUGAUAAACAGUGGAUGCUUGAAAAAAGUAAUCCUAGCGAUAAGUUUCUCAAAAAUGAACAAUAAUCACAACAAGAUCUCAUGCUCAAUUUUGUACUCAAGGAGUUUAUAGUGUGAUAGGCAAAGAUAAUACCCAAAUGAAGCUGAUAAGACAAAGGGUGUGCAAUGGGAAAGGCACAGGAUGGAUAAGUGCAGAGGUGUUUAAUGUCUAGCUUGGGUACUAUCCUUAAGUGAAAAAUUAGGGCUGAAUCUGUCUGCAUCUCCAUCAUCUCUCAUUAGAGUGACAGUUACCAUGGACAGAGGGCAAGAUAUCUUUGUGAAUUAACACAAAACUUAUUUGCUGUAUCAAAUUGCCUGCAGAAGCCAAAUCUUCUUAUGCCUUUUUCAAAGGAUAUCCGUGAUGCCUACAUAUAUUAUUCUUAUAAAGUGCUCAGUGAAAUCAGUAUUAAUCAGAAAAGUGGUUUUUCUAAUUAUUCACACUAGAUAAAAAUGCUGUUCAAGCAGGUGUCAUCAGAUUAUUCCAUGAAUGUAUAUUAUAUGUGAUAUAAAUAUAAAUACUUACGUAGAUAAUAUAGCUUCAACAAGUCCUGCAGAUGGAUAAUAAGUUAAUGUUAGAAUUGAAUAGUCGGCAAUCAGACUGGAGUUUUUCCUCACUAAUGCCAAUUUGCUUACCACUGUAAAAGAAAGUAUUUUUUAAUCAACCACUCAAUCUACAGGCAUUUAUUCAGGGUCUAUUAUGGACUAGGCACUGCACUAGGCAUUGGAGAUAUAAAUACAAAAGUGGUAUAGAUUCUGACCUCAUGAAACUUGUAUUCUGCUAGGCAAGAAAAUAGAGGAAAUAUACAAAACAAAUAAUAAGUGAUUGUUAAGGAGGCACUAAAAAAGGGUGAGUCUGAAAAGAUCUCUUCAAGGAGGUGGCACUUGAGCAAGUUUCUAAGAGGCGGAAGUUAAGGAGGAAGAACAUUCUAAGCUUAGAAAUAGUACUUCUAUGCAAAGGAUAUGGUAGGAGGGAGAAUGCUACUUAUGGAAAAGAGGGAGAAAGACAUUUGGCCGAAGCUUAGAGUGCCUACUGGGAGUAAUGUAUCAUUUUAAAAGAUUAAUUGGAACAAAUUGAGAAGUAUUUCAAAUGCUAAAAAGUAGAGUUUAUGUUUUGUCCUAGAAAUAAUAGGGAGCUAAUGUAGCUUAUUGUAUUUGAGGAUCAUAAAAUCUAGAGCUAGAAGUUAUUUUAAAGGCCAAGCCUUUCAUUUUAUAGGUAAGGAAACUGAGACCCAGAGAAGUCAAGUGACUUGCUUGUCCAUAUAGAUAGGAAGUAGCAUAGCCAGGAUUUGAACACAGGAUUCAUUUGAACUCAGCCCAUGACUCCAAAUUUGGUAAUCUUGAGACCUUUUUAUUACCAAUAUUUUCCUGGUGAUUCUUCAUGGCUAUUACUCUUGAAAUCUCAUUUAUCUCAGAAGAAUUAAAGCUUUGAAUAAUUCAAAGGGCAAAAUUAUGGACAUAAUAAGCAAUGACUUACAGGUCACCACUAAUUUAUCUGGAUUUAUUGAAGAUGUAUAUAGCUAGAAAAAUAGGUGAUGUCGUGAGGAUGAAAUAAUCUGAGUGAUAAAUUGUUGAACUGAAUGUACUGAUAAACAGGGGCAGCUAAGGUGGCACAGUGGAUAGAGUGCCAGGCUUGAAGUUAGGAAGACUCACAUUCCUGAGUUCAAAUAUGGCCUUAGACACUUACUAGCUGAGUGACUCUGAGCAAGUCACUUAACUUUAUUUGCUUCAGUUCCUCGUCUAUAAAAUGAGCUGGAAAAGGAAAUGGCACACUACUCCAGUAUCUUUGCCAAGAAAACCAAAAAGAGUUGGACACAACUGAAAAAUGAGUGAACAACAAUGAUAACAACAUAUAUACUAAAAAUAAAAACAAAACAGCAGAGUAAGGACUCCAGCAUGUUGUAUGUAUUCUCUAUUGUGUAUUUAUGGAAAACCAGGGGCAAGAAUUGACGUGGAUAAGGAAAAAUAGAGGAGUUUGUGAUUUUUGUUGAACACCCAAAAGAAUACAUUUUCCUAAUAUAGAAAAGAAAAAAUAAUGACUAACUCUGUUUGAACUCCAACGAACAUAAUUUAAUGGAAGAAAAAAGAAAAUUAUUUAGACUUUAUCAAUAGGUUUUUAAUUUAUCUGCAAUGUAAAUAUGAUGUAACAUUGAUAUAGCCACUAAAAUAUUGACAUACAUUUCCACAAUUUUCUUUGCUAGGAAAUUAUUUUCAUUUUUUAUGCUUUAUCUGAAAUUGAAAAUAUAUCUUGUAGGGCUAAUUAUUGUUUAGGCACGAUUUAAAGUGAGAAAUGUUUCUAACCUAUUUGUUGCAGUACAUUAUAUUACUGUUAAAUCACAACUUUGAUAAUUUGAAAGACACAUAUUAUAUAAAUGUAGAAAAGGAGAAAAUUCUUUGCAGAUAAUUCCACAAUCCCUGAAAUAUUUAGGAAAUAAAAGAAUAAAACUGGGAUUAGGGUGGCUGAUUAAAAUUCAGAGGGCUACUGUUAGAUUGCUCCCAAAUCAAAAUAAUUUAACUAUACUUACCUUUAUCAGUGGUGGCAUAGUGGAUAGAGUGCUGGGUCCAGAGUCAGGAAGACCUGAAUUUAAACCCAGAUUCAGGCACAUAUUUGCUAAUGUGACCCUGAAUAUAUCACUUAAACCUGUUUAACCUGUUUCCUCAUCAGUAAAAGUAGCUGGAGAAGGAAAUGGCAGACCACUUCAAUAUUUUUGCCCAGGAAAACCCCAGUUAGAAUCAUGAAGAGUAGGACAGAGCUGGUACUACUAAACUUGUAGCAAUUGGGGAGCAAAAGCAACCUCAUUCAAGAAAUGCUUUUUACAUUACAGUAUACAUUUGCUUAUAUAAAUGGCCCACUCUGCCCUGCAAUUUAAGAAAUGUUUUCUGUGUUCGAUAUCAUUUCAAAAGCAAACUUCCUUGGAAGAUUCCCUUCCCUACCAAAAAAGAAAUAAACAUUUUAUCGACAGAUAAAAUAUGUGUAAAUCUUUUUCUUUGUAUGACACAUGUAUAUUUUACCAGUCAUAGUCUAAAGGAGCAUCCCAUAAGCAAAAUCACAGCCAAUAAAAAGGCAGAAAAAAGUUUCAAAGUGAAAACCUAGAAGUAGGGAACUAAGAGAGCUCAUCUUCUCACCAAUUAAAAUUCAAAAAAGGCCAAAGAAAAAAUUGAAACGUGGGAAUAGAGACAGAACCACAGAAGAAAACCUAAAAGGACAAUACUAGACUCAUUAGGUUGUGUUAUUUCCAUUUAUGUAUGUUUCCUCCUUUGCUUCAAUGUAUGACUAAAGCCUUGGAAAACCUGAAAAAUUGUGCAUUAGAAGGCAAAAGGCUUGUCUCAACCUAACUACAAUUGGUCAGCAGAACAUAUAUCCUUGUAGGGAUCACUAACGAAAAAUGGAACCUCUGUGUGUGUGUGUGUGUGUGUGUGUGUGUGUGUGUGUGUGUGUGUGUGUAAAUUACUAGAUUAUUGACACCCCAGAACAACACCCCAUUACUAUUUCCCCAAUAUCUACAAGCAGAGUAAAAUAGAAAGAAAGGUGACUUGGAAUUAGGACCUAAAUUUCUUUAUUAUCCUUCUGUAGACAGUGUAGUAACAAUUUCUCUGGGUCUAUGUCUCCUCAUCUCUCAAAUGAGGGUGCUAGUUUAGGUGAUCUCAAAGAUCCCUUCCAUCUUGAACCUAGGAACUUGGUCUUUUAUUCAUUUCAGUAUUGAAUAUUACCAAUGAAAUUAAGAGAAUAUGCUUUGAGAUUCUAGUGGUAUUACCAUGCUUCCCUUUCAGAAAACUCCAUAUUCAAAAAUUAAUUUACAUAUGUGCUAUAUGAAAGCAUGUUUAUUUUUACCACUGAAAAAUUAUCAAUAAGAAUUCUUUUUUCCCUUUGGUUUUUUAUUUUAUU